UAGGGAAUCUUCGGCAAUGGACGGAAGUCUGACCGAGCAACGCCGCGUGAGUGAAGAAGGUUUUCGGAUCGUAAAGCUCUGUUGUAAGAGAAGAACGAGUGUGAGAGUGGAAAGUUCACACUGUGACGGUAUCUUACCAGAAAGGGACGGCUAACUACGUGCCAGCAGCCGCGGUAAUACGUAGGUCCCGAGCGUUGUCCGGAUUUAUUGGGCGUAAAGCGAGCGCAGGCGGUUAGAUAAGUCUGAAGUUAAAGGCUGGGGCUUAACCAUAGUAGGCUUUGGAAACUGUUUAACUUGAGUGCAAGAGGGGAGAGUGGAAUUCCAUGUGUAGCGGUGAAAUGCGUAGAUAUAUGGAGGAACACCGGUGGCGAAAGCGGCUCUCUGGCUUGUAACUGACGCUGAGGCUCGAAAGCGUGGGGAGCAAACAGGAUUAGAUACCCUGGUAGUCCACGCUGUAAACGAUGAGUGCUAGGUGUUAGACCCUUUCCGGGGUUUAGUGCCGUAGCUAACGCAUUAAGCACUCCGCCUGGGGAGUACGACCGCAAGGUUG
Molecule: ribosomal RNA, 550 nt
Filed under: uncultured bacterium
Lineage: Bacteria
Description: bacterial SSU rRNA
Rfam family: Bacterial small subunit ribosomal RNA
Source: RNAcentral